Molecule: ribosomal RNA, 360 nt
Filed under: uncultured bacterium
Lineage: Bacteria
Description: bacterial SSU rRNA
Rfam family: Bacterial small subunit ribosomal RNA
Source: RNAcentral
AAUGAACGCUGGCGGCGUGCCUAACACAUGCAAGUCGGAUGUGCCGCAAGGUGCAUGGCAGACGGGUGAGUAACGCGUGGGGAACCUACCUCUUCGUGGGGAAUAACGAUCCGAAAGGAUUGGUAAUACCGCAUGAGACCGACGGCUGGGAUGCUGUCGGUGAAAGCUGGGGACCGGAAACGGCCUGGCGCGAGGAGAGGGUCCUGCGUCUGAUUAGCUAGUUGGUGGGGUAACGGCCUACCAAGGCAUCGAUCAGUAGCCGGCCUGAGAGGGUGAUCGGCCACACUGGAACUGAGACACGGUCCAGACUCCUACGGGAGGCAGCAGUGGGAAUUUGCGCAAUGGACGAAGUCUGACGCA